CGGGCGGAAGCCAAACGGUGACGCGCCGCUGAUGGUCGGGGACAGGAACGCCCCGCAAAUCAAACGGUUCCAUCGUCGGCAAAUGGACGGGGACGAGGUUCAAGCCCCGUUCGCUCGCCCA
Molecule: transfer RNA, 121 nt
Filed under: Armatimonadota bacterium
Lineage: Bacteria; Bacillati; Armatimonadota
Description: tRNA-OTHER
Source: RNAcentral